GAAAUGCGAUAAGUAAUGUGAAUUGCAGAAUUCAGUGAAUCAUCGAAUCUUUGAACGCACAUUGCGCCCGCCAGUAUUCUGGCGGGCAUGCCUGUUCGAGCGUCAUUUCAACCAUCAAGCCCCCGGCUUGUGUUGGGGACCUGCGGCUGCCCGCAGGCCCUGAAAAACAGUGGCGGGCUCGCUGUCACACCGAGCGUAGUAGCAUACAUUCUCGCUCAGGGCGUGCUGCGGGUUCCGGCCGUUAAACGACCUUCAUAACCCAAGGUUGACCUCGGAUCAGGUAGGAAGACCCGCCGAACUUAAGC
Molecule: unclassified non-coding RNA, 305 nt
Filed under: plant metagenome
Description: partial contains 5.8S ribosomal RNA, internal transcribed spacer 2, and large subunit ribosomal RNA
Rfam family: 5.8S ribosomal RNA (bases 1-105)
Source: RNAcentral